Molecule: ribosomal RNA, 468 nt
Filed under: uncultured bacterium
Lineage: Bacteria
Description: partial 16S ribosomal RNA
Rfam family: Bacterial small subunit ribosomal RNA
Source: RNAcentral
GACGAACGCUGGCGGCGUGCUUAACACAUGCAAGUCGAACGGAAAGGCCCUGCUGUUGUGGGGUGCUCGAGUGGCGAACGGGUGAGUAACACGUGAGUAACCUGCCCUUGACUUUGGGAUAACUUCAGGAAACUGGGGCUAAUACCGGAUAGGAGCUCCUGCUGCAUGGUGGGGGUUGGAAAGUUUCGGCGGGUGGGGAUGGACUCGCGGCUUAUCAGCUUGUUGGUGGGGUAGUGGCUUACCAAGGCUUUGACGGGUAGCCGGCAUGGGAGGGUGACCGGCCACAUUGGGACUGAGAUACGGCGCAGACUCCUACGGGGGGCAGCAGUGGGGAAUAUUGCACAAUGGGCGGAAGCCUGAUGCAGCAGCGCCGCGUGCGGGAUGACGGCCUUCGGGUUGUAAACCGCUUUCGCCUGUGACGAAGCGUGAGUGACGGUAAUGGGUAAAGAAGCACCGGCUAACUACGUG